UACGUAGGGUGCAAGCGUUAAUCGGAAUUACUGGGCGUAAAGCGUGCGCAGGCGGUUGGCAAAGUCAGCUGUGAAAGCCCCGGGCUUAACCUGGGAAUGGCGGUUGAAACUAGGCGACUAGAAUCUGGCAGAGGGGGGUGGAAUUCCACGUGUAGCAGUGAAAUGCGUAGAGAUGUGGAGGAACACCGAUGGCGAAGGCAGCCCCCUGGGCUGAGAUUGACGCUCAGGCACGAAAGCGUGGGGAGCAAACAGG
This 253-nucleotide ribosomal RNA is filed under the name uncultured bacterium. RNAcentral describes it as "partial 16S ribosomal RNA". It matches the Rfam family "Bacterial small subunit ribosomal RNA", at positions 524 to 776 of the family's 1533-position model. The record is from RNAcentral.